AAUUUAAAAAAAUAUUUUUGUUAUCUCGUCAACCUUGCACAUUAGCAACAAUAAUUGACCAGAAAUGCAUUAUUCAAUUUAAAUAAGCAAUUACGAAAAGGACACGAGCACAUCUCCCACUUUAAUAACAAUGUGGUGGUUCAAUUCUGUAGCAGAGCGGCACAUCGAUUCUAGUUAAAUUUGGUGGUAGCGAUCGUUUCAAAUUUAUUUUAUUAUUAUUAUUCUAUUGCCGUUUUUAGUAAUUUUUGUUAAAACUUUAGAGGAAAGCUAUUUCUUACUUCCAUAGGGUGACAAGCGCUCUAUGGAAAAUUCUGCUAUCUUCUGUGAUCAAAAAAUGCUGAAAGGAAGACUACACCGCAGUUGUGCGUCCAGCACUCACAUACGGUUCACAAUGUUGGACAAUGUACAAAAAGUAUGAAAUUAAGUUAACGGCAGUUGAGAUGAAGAUGCUUCGUAUGACAGCAGGAGUAAUAAAACUUGAUAGAAUUGAAGUUAAAAUACCAUCUCCCAAAAAAUUGAACACGACCGACUCAGUUGGUAUUGCCAUGUUCAAAGGAGUGAUCCUGAGAACGGAAUAUCAUACAAUGUUCCAACAUGAAAUAAAAAGAAAGGUAGGCCUUAAAACUUCAGGUACAAGCAAAUGCAAAAACACCAGCAUUCAGUUGGCCUCAGAAAUGGAACAAUACAAAACCGGGAGGUUUGCGGCAGAUUUCUGGGGUCAACCCGGUAAAUUCCACAGGCGGAUCACUUUUGUGAAGCAGAUACGUUGGAUAGCUAUGAUUCCCGCGGAAUCGAGAUCAUAACAGGGCCGAGAAAAGAAAGAAGAAAUUAUAAUGAAACAAAGUGAAGAUAACAAUUAUUGAGGUAUAUACAGUCAAACAGAUAUGUAUUCAGGGUGUCCCGGGAUGAGAUAAGAAGACUUUGAGGGAUUCUUGGGUAUAUUCUUAGAAAAAAAUUGUUUUACAGUAACUCAACUCUGCAAAGUAGAUACCCUCUAGCGAAGAUUUACGAAAACGCUUACUUUGGUAUGCCUUUACUCAUGUUAAUGUUAAUAAGAUUAGGGUGAGAGGUGGGAAUAAUUCGCCUUAUCACUGUGGCCUCUGAUGGGCCUAUUGUGUUAAUAACUCCGUUAAUACUUAUGAUAAAAACUUUAUUAAUGUCUUGAUUUUUAGAAAAAAUGCUAUUAUUUGUACCUGCAUUUAAAAAAUAUAAAAAUCUUUUUUAGUUUCUCAGAUAUUAAUUUUUAAAUGGAAUUAUUUUUUUCUUACCCAUGAUAAUUUUUGACUUUGGGGCCGAUUUUCUUCGAUAAAUGUGUUAUAAAUAUACAGCCUUUAAACAGAUAAUUGCUAUUUAUAAAAUUUAUACAACGUUGCAUAGAGGUUGUAUAAGCUAAACGCGGUUUUAGGUUGUUAAGGGCCUGAAUAAGAAUAUUUUUUAAUCAAAUGGCAUUCGAACAUCACAUCAAAAAAAGAAGAAAAGAAAAGAGCAAUGAUUUGUAAAUUUUUUUUUAAACAAACUAAAAACGCGUUUAGCGUAUACAACCUCUAUGCAACGUUGUAUAAAUUUUAUAAAUAGCAAUUAUCUGGUUAGAGACAUUAUAAGCAUUGAAUAGUGUUAUGCAUUGUCUAUACUACGUUUAUAAAUUAGGCUGUAUGUUUAUAACACAUUUAUCGAAGAAAAUCGGCCCCAAAGUAAAAAAUUAUCAUGGAUAAGAAAAAAAUAAUUCCAUUUAAAAAUUAAUAUCUGAGCAAAUAAAAAAUAUUUUAAUAUUUUUUAAAUGCAGAUACAAAUAAUAGCAUUUCUUCUAAAAAUCAAUCAUCAUUAAUGAAGUUUUUAUCAUAAGUAUUAACGGAGUUACUAACAUUAACAUGAGUAAAGGCAUACCAAAGUAAGCGUUUUCUUAAAUCAUCGCUAGAGGGUAUCAACUUUGCAGAUAGAGAGUUACUGAUAAACAAUUUUAUUCUUAGAAUAUACCCAAGAAUCAUCCCUCAAAGUCUGCUUAUUUCAUCCCGGGACACCCUGUAUAAAUGUGUGUCCCAAACGCAACAACAAUUUAAUCACAAAUACACAGAAACCCAAACUUAAGAAUCAAAAAACAGAAUCGAAAUCUAUUCGUUUUGCAUUCCGGAUCGGACAGUCCCGGACACAUCUCAGGGUUACUUCUUUGCAUGGUAUAAAAAGAGAAAGUAUGAUCAUUAGAAAAAACUCAGUAUCGAGAACUGUCAAAACUUAAAAAAUGGCUACUUAAGGUUUUGACAGUUCCCAUUGAAAUUGUUGUUGUAAACAAAUUUGUCUUAGAAAUUGUUGUUGCUUUUGACUUUGCCAAAUAUUAAACGUCAAAACCUUAUUACCCCAUUUUGUAAGAUGGCGGCUCUAAUGAUCAUACCUUGUCUUUUUAU
Molecule: long non-coding RNA, 2399 nt
Organism: Episyrphus balteatus (marmalade hoverfly)
Lineage: Eukaryota; Metazoa; Arthropoda; Insecta; Diptera; Syrphidae
Exons: 2
Source: RefSeq, a predicted model, not a curated record